GUCCUUACUUCAUAGAACAUAUAUCAAAAUUAGAAGAAUGCAGGGAAGAUUAGCAUAUCCCUUGAGCAAGGAUGUCCUACAAAUCGGUGUUUUCCACACAACAAGUUUUG
Small nuclear RNA from Oryctolagus cuniculus (rabbit), 110 nucleotides. Lineage: Eukaryota; Metazoa; Chordata; Mammalia; Lagomorpha; Leporidae. The record is from Ensembl.